GGGAGCAAACAGGAUUAGAUACCCUGGUAGUCCACGCCGUAAACGAUGUCGACUUGGAGGUUGUGCCCUUGAGGCGUGGCUUCCGGAGCUAACGCGUUAAGUCGACCGCCUGGGGAGUACGGCCGCAAGGUUAAAACUCAAAUGAAUUGACGGGGGCCCGCACAAGCGGUGGAGCAUGUGGUUUAAUUCGAUGCAACGCGAAGAACCUUACCUGGCCUUGACAUCCAGAGAACUUAGCAGAGAUGCUUUGGUGCCUUCGGGAACUCUGAGACAGGUGCUGCAUGGCUGUCGUCAGCUCGUGUUGUGAAAUGUUGGGUUAAGUCCCGCAACGAGCGCAACCCUUAUCCUUUGUUGCCAGCGGUUCGGCCGGGAACUCAAAGGAGACUGCCGGUGAUAAACCGGAGGAAGGUGGGGAUGACGUCAAGUCAUCAUGGCCCUUACGGCCAGGGCUACACACGUGCUACAAUGGCGCAUACAAAGAGAAGCGACCUCGCGAGAGCAAGCGGACCUCAUAAAGUGCGUCGUAGUCCGGAUUGGAGUCUGCAACUCGACUCCAUGAAGUCGGAAUCGCUAGUAAUCGUAGAUCAGAAUGCUACGGUGAAUACGUUCCCGGGCCUUGUACACACCGCCCGUCACACCAUGGGAGUGGGUUGCAAAAGAAGUAGGUAGCUUAACCUUCGGGAGG
Molecule: ribosomal RNA, 685 nt
Filed under: Pantoea dispersa
Lineage: Bacteria; Pseudomonadati; Pseudomonadota; Gammaproteobacteria; Enterobacterales; Erwiniaceae
Also listed under: 1 other name
Description: bacterial SSU rRNA
Rfam family: Bacterial small subunit ribosomal RNA
Source: RNAcentral